UCUCUGAACAAAAAGAAUUCUCGAAGUGUUCUUAUAUACACCAAACAAACUCCUACAAUUUAAGGGAUCAAUUAUUGCCAAUGAAAUGACUCUAAUUAAAAGAUGCAGGCCCUGUGGUGGUCUUUUGCCCCUUCUAUUCAGUUCCUUCUAAAAUCCAUAAUUCCUUCUACCUGGUCACUUGGCAAAGCAUUGUGCUAGGCUGCCGUCUGCCCAGAGGUAGUCACCCUCUUCACAGCCGUGGGCAGAGCUUCCCCUGGCAGUGUCCCCGAGCUUCCUGUUCAUCAGACACCCGUGCAGUCAGACACCAAUGAUACAUCUUCUCUUUAACUUCUGGAAAAAGUAUAUAACUUGGUACAAUUCAAGGGGUCCUUUGGUAGUACUGCCAAGAAUCUUAAAAAUUCCACAUCAGGAAUUAAACAUUAAGCAAAUAAUCAGAUAUAAAUACAAAAUUUGAUGCCUCUAAGAUAUUUAUCACAGCAUUAUCUAUGAUAGCGAAAAACUGAUGUAGUCUUUAUAUCCAACGAAGAAAUAGCUAGAAAAAACUUAUGGUAUAAUAAACAAUAUCCAUUCUGGAUAUUCAUAUGCCUAUACACAUGGAUUGAUACGUAAAUAGAUGGAUAGUUAGAGAUAGAUAACUUUAUAUUCCACAUCAAUAAGAAAUAAUAACAUGCUCAAUUGUAAUAUAUUUCUAGUAGUUGGAAUAUAGGUGGUAUUCAUUUAUUGCUUUUACUUCUCUAUAACUUCUGAUGUUAUAUAUAAACACAUACAACUUUUAUAAUCAAAAAAAAUUAAUGUCUAAAAAGGACUUUAAAUUUUGGAAAAAGGAAAAGACGGCCAUGCAGCUUGGAGAUACCAAAAUGCCAGCACUUUACUGUCAGCCUAAGUCAAAAACGUCACCUGACAGCCUCACUGUUGACUGGCAGCAAGCCAGCUUCCCGGGGCUGAGGUCCUGGUCUGGUGGGGAGCAAAGAUCAGGAAGACUGGUCCUGCUGACACGAGGACAAGCAUCCUCACCCUCUGACAGCUCAGGGCCAACAAGGAAGCGGGACCACGGCAAGCAGAAGGCGAACACUCUUCUGCAUCCAAACCCUUGACUCCAGAGAUCCCGCCACAGCAGCAGCCCAGCCAGGGACCCUGAACCACAGCCCACAUGACAGCUUGGAUGCGGCUUCUCUGCUCCACUGGCAGCCCUCUGCCCUCUCCCUCCCCUGGAGAAGAAGACUGUUGGGUCCACAGUCCUACUGCACCGGGGGUACAGCAGGAGGGAGGCAUGGGCUCGCCCACCCUGUGUUUCGCUGGUCCAGGCUCAUAGGACAGCGCCGUCCCAGAGACAGUCCUGCAAGAGCGCAUCCUCUUCCCACCUCCACUCUCCACAUCUAGAGCCAUCAUUUACUCCACAAGCCACCAGGGCAUGCCACAGGUCAGACUCCUACCUAGGCUGGCUUCCCACAGUCUAUUCCCCAUAACCACCCCUCUGCCUAACCCCCUCCAGGUGCUAGAGGACAGUCUGCCCUCCUCGCCACCUCUCACAGCCCCACAGGCCUGCCAGCACAGGCUCCUUCUCUCCAUCCUCAGGGUGUGUGCACUGGCUGCUCCCUCCACCGCAAGGCUGGUUCCACCACAGCCCAGGGCACACCCUGUGCCUCGUCCUGGAUGGAAGGAGCUGGGUCUGUAGAAACCAGCAGUCUGGGGCUAGGACAGGGAGCUGAACAAAAUGAGGCCAGAGGCUGGUGGGUCGGACCUGUGGACUCGUGUUCCUCCAGGGGGUCUGGAUUUUAUUCUCAGCACAACGGCAGAGCCCUCAGAGGGUGUUUGGUCGGAGAGUGAGCUGACCUGAACUGCAUCUGAAGCAGAUGGCUCUGACUCCUGUGAGCAGAGAGUGGAGGGAGAGCUUGAGUGGACAUGGGGGAUAUAGAAAGAGCAGCAGAGAUGGAGAGGUCAACACUGUUUGGGAUGGGAAUCAAGGCUCUUUUCUCUCUGCUUGUCCUCUUUCACAUCACUCUGAACUUUGCCCAGGGAGGCCAACAUCUGCUGUCUCCACACAGUAAGCAGGCUUCUUCCUGCUCUACCAAAGCUCCCCCAAAUUCUCAGAAUCAAAGCCAGGGGCCUUCCCUCAGGCCGCAUUCUCCAUCUCCCUUCUCCUUUCAUGUGGACAGGAUCUGGAUGAGACAAGACCAGCAGAUACAGGUGAGCUUACACGCCGUCCCUUGGCCGACUGUAGGAGUGUAUGCACACACUGCACACUAUACUCAAUCACCCAUGACCCACAGCCAGCCCAGGCUGCACGACCUUUCAAGGCGCCCUCCGGCCGGCCUGGCCCCUGGCUGGCACUGCUUCCUCCCCACCAUCUAAGCUGGGUGUUCCCCAUGGGCACCGCCAGCUUCCUCUUCUCCAGGGCAUCUGCUGCUGCUGAGGUCAUGUCCAGACCGAAUAUGGCCCUGACCUCGUCCUGGUUCAGUUCUGCAUUCUCAGCUGUCCUCGGAAGACUUCUACUGGGACAGGCUGUGGUCUUCACAGUGAAGGCUCUUCAAAUGUCACAAACCAGCUCCUCUCCAUCCACCACCCCCAUCACCCCUGAGCCAGGUGGUCACCAGGGCCUCCUGCCUGGGCCCUUGCAUGGCUCCUUUCAAUUUCUACUCCACCCGUUCUAGUCCAUGCUGUUUUUCAGUCUUUUCCUCCUAGCCUAUCAAUACCCUGUCUGCCAGCCUUCUUGUAUCUCUGAGAUUACUCCUGGGCUGGAAUGCGGCAGAUCUGUUGUUCGGUUCAUCCAUGAGGCCCCAGACUAAGCACCAAUGAACACGGAACAAGCGGACAUGCUGCUCGUUCCUCACAACCCUCAGGGGCUCCUCAAUAGGGAUGAGAGAAACCGGAUGCCUUCAACAGGCCCUAAAGUUUCCUUCCUUUGGACCCAAUCCUCCUUUCUAGGCUUCUUUUCAAUGAUUCUAGUUAGGCUGGAGCCUAAUUAGUCUUCCGAGUCCUCCCCCACCUUCCUGAUGGUGAUCACUUGCACGUUAAAAACCUGGAGCUUUCAAUAUUUGGAAACUGCCAAGACCCUCACUGCUCUCUGUCCAUCUGUAUCCAAGCAACUCUUUCUUUUCCCCCCACCCCCCAUGUCUGCUGGACUGCCCACCCUGGCUGUCCCUCCACGUCUGCAUUGCAGCCGUCUCCAUCCACACUGCUCAGUAAGACCCUCUCGUGACACUGCUUCAGCUCUGAAUCACUUGUGCAUCGUUACUGCACUUUUUCUGGUCUUCUUUUUUUCUAGGGCCGCGCCCAUGGCAUAUGGAGGUUCCCAGGUGAGGGGUCUAAUCGAAGCUACAGCUGCCAGCCUACACCACAGCCAAAGUACAUGGGAUCUGAGCCAUAUCUGCGACCUACACCACAGAUCACGGCAACGCCGGAUCUUAACCCACUGAGCGAGGCCAGGACCGAACCUGAGUCCUCAUGGAUACUAGUCAGGUUCGUUAACCUGUGAGCUACGAUGGGAACUCCCAUUACUGCACUUUGAGACAUGUGGUGUUUGCGCUCUAACAAGACUGCACGUUCCCUGGGUGCUGGCAGAUUUGCACGGCAUCCUCCUAUCACCCGGUGCGGCUCCUCACACAGAAAAAGGGCUCUGUAAGUAUUUUCUGAUGUACACAUCAGUCAAAUGGGAUGCAGACUGAGUCCUAUGCCACACUCUACAAAAGAUGAGGGAAAGGACGGGACAGAAACAUCUUUGUUUCUGUCUACACAAGAUGCACGAUGAGUGGGUAGCAGAGGGCGUAGAUGAUCAAAAGAAAAUUUUACAGCCUCUGAAGAGGGUACCGGCUGACGUCUCCUCCUACUGAAUGGGUGUGCAUAACACUGCCUCAGAAUAUCAGCCAUAUCCCCAGGAGAGAGCCCAUUAAGACAGCCACCAAUUCAUUCAGCUUCGUUGCUAAUGAAUGUCGCUACCUCUGGCAUCAUAACCUGUGGAUGGCAUAUAAGUAGGGCGGAAUUCACAAUCGCCAUAUACAAUACCAUUUUUACACAUACAAGGACUUGUGCCCCACGUCCUUUCACUAGAACUCUACUCGGCAGCCUUUCUCCAGUAAGAGCCACUGCCAUUCCUUAUCCUGUCUCUCAUCCCAAUCCUAGUCCUACUCUCUAAAAAAAGGUGAGAGCAAGAGACGGAGGAAGAAGAAGGAUGCACUGCAGAGGAUCCUGGAGAUCUAGAAAACUCUCACCCCAUUUUACAGGUGAGAAACUCAAGGCUGCUAAAUAUAUUGUGGGAGGAGCAAAUGGCUUUGGCCAAAUCUAUUUAAAUUCUUCCUCCUCCACAUACCGUGUGGUGUAACAUCCCAGGUUCGGUGUCCACGACUGUAAAAAGGCAGCAAUAUUCCUCGCCGGGUUGUUGUGAGGGUUAAACGGGAUGAGGAAUGUGAUCCGACCACACAGGUCCUCAGAGGGUAGGAGUCAAAGAGGGCCAAGCCGAAUCUCCCUCCCUGGUGCUUCCUUCCCUCGGAUCCUUUCUUUUUUUCUUUUGUUUAUUGUCUUUUUAGGGCCGCACCCGCGGCAUAUGGAGGUUCCCAGGCUAGGGAUCCAUCGGAGCUACAGCUGCUGGCCUAUGCCACAGCCACAGCCACACGGGAUCCAAGCCACGUCUACGACCUACACCGCAGAUCAUAGCAAUGCCAGAUCCUGAACCCACUGAGUGAGGCCAGGAAUCGAACCCAGUCCUCAGGAUACAAGCCAGGUUCUUAACCUGCUGAGCUGCAAUGAGAACUCCGCCCUAGGAUUCUGAAGGAGGGACAUUUAUUGCAGCUGGAACUCUCCUUCACACAAAGAGGGGGUGAGGGCAGAGGGCAGCUUCUGAGAAGGCACUAAGGGGCUCAUGAAGCCACAACUGCCAUCUGUGCUUUGCUUUUUUUCUGGGCAGCUCUGAGACAACAUGCCAAGAACUCUAAGAACACUGCUUUCGGCCGCUGGGCAGGGCUGCUGGAAGGCAGAGGGGAUCGCUGGGAGGGCAGAGGCUCCUUACCCCGGGACUUGGGGUGCAGUCACUGCCUGGCUGGGCAGUGGACACUUUUCAUUCUCGCCCUGCCCACACCAUCCAGCUCUGGGCAGGAAACAGCAGCUCAGCCUUUACACACAUGAGGUUAGAAGGAUGUGGCUUUUAAACACAUCAGGGCCAGGGUGAGUCCCUUCCCCACACCUCUCCUUCUAUUUAGGGUGCCCUCCAUCAAAGCAAGAAGGCUUCUCAGGAAUCCCAUCACCACCAUGCCCAGCCCCAGCCAGGAUGGUGCUGGAGGAAAGCCAUCUCCCUUCCCUGGGGGCUGCCUCCUGCCUCGCCUGGGUCUUCACUACACUGUGUGAUGGUUCCCUCCACCGCAGCUAGAGCUAAAUGACAAGUUGGCCCACAAAGUUACAGCAAUUCAGGCGACAGCUAUGUAACAGCCCAGAAGGGGCUGGGCUCACAAGCGCUUCCUUACUCUAGGGAGCUGCAUUUUUUUAAGAUUAUUAUUCCUUGGGCUGGUGCUCAACUUCUCAGCGUCAUUUCCCCUUUGGGUGGGAAAGUUCUUUCCUUCUGCACUGAUUUUCGUUAUGACUUAAGCCUCCCCUCCCAUCUCCUCCCCCACCCGGCGCAUUUGCCGAUCUCACAAUUAAAGCCUAUGGAUUGCAAAAGUCAAAGUGUAUAAACUUAAGCACUCAGCUUAGAACUGUGGCUCGGCUCAGAAACUCUGAAUUGUUAAAAGAAAAAAAAAAAAAAAAAAA
RNAcentral lists this long non-coding RNA (5736 nucleotides) under Sus scrofa (pig). RNAcentral describes it as "lncRNA (ENSSSCG00000063344.1)". Lineage: Eukaryota; Metazoa; Chordata; Mammalia; Artiodactyla; Suidae. The record is from RNAcentral.